GUGCCAGCCGCCGCGGUAAAACGUAGGUGGCGAGCGUUAUCCGGAUUCAUUGGGCGUAAAGAGCUUGUAGGUGGCUUGAUAAGUUGGACGUGAAAACUCCGGGCUUAACUUGGAGAGGCCGUUCAAUACUGUCGGGCUGGAGGGUGUCAGAGGGAAGUAGAAUUCCUGGUGUAGCAGUGAAAUGCGUAGAUAUCAGGAGGAAUACCCGUGGCGCAGGCGGCUUCCUGGGGCACACCUGACACUGAGAAGCGACAGCUAGGGGAGCAAACGGGAUUAGAAACCCCCGUAGUCC
This 292-nucleotide ribosomal RNA is filed under the name uncultured bacterium. Its description in RNAcentral is "partial 16S ribosomal RNA". It matches the Rfam family "Bacterial small subunit ribosomal RNA", at positions 505 to 796 of the family's 1533-position model. The record is from RNAcentral.